GUGCUCGCUUCGGCAGCACAUACACUAAAAUUGGAACAAUACGGAGAAGAUUAGCAUGGCCGCUGCCCAAGGAUGGCAUGCAAAUUUGUGAAGCAUUCCAUAUUUUU
Small nuclear RNA from Delphinapterus leucas (beluga whale), 107 nucleotides. NCBI's taxonomy places the organism in Eukaryota, Metazoa, Chordata, Mammalia, Artiodactyla, Monodontidae. The record is from Ensembl.